AUGGCGACGGAAGACGAAGCGCGAGAAGCGGCAGAUGGGGAGGAAGUUCAAGUGGAAGCUGGGGAUCUGGGGACAACACAUUUGCAAAUGAACCUAGAUAGCAAGCUUUCAUCUCAUGCAGAGAUGAAGGACGAGGCAAGAGCCAUGGAUUCAACUGAAGGAAUGAAGGUUUCAGAGGAUCAAGUUUUAGAAAGAGCACCCUCUGUAGUCGAAAUUCCUCAAGAAGAUGCUCCAAAUGGUACACAUGCUUCUCUGAAUGGUCAUAUGAAAGAAGGGAAGAUCUCGAAUGAGAAGCCACAAGAAAAUGGUCAGAAAGGUAACGAGCAGGUAGAAGCUUUGCCAGAUGGAAUAAGCACCGAUCGGAGCAGCACAAGUAAUGGCGAAGAGGCAAUUGAUUCUUUAGACCAUGUUGAGAACACUACAGAAGGUACCAGCCUUCUAAAACAUGAUAAUGAAGAGCCAAAGGAACAUUGUCAACGAGAUGUAGAAGGUGCUGCAAUAGAGAGCAAAAUGGUGCACAAAGACACACUGCAGCCUGACAAUGAUGUUGAGCCAACAAUUGACGCUCAACAAGGCCACAAUCUGGAACCAGCAGAAGUAACUGAGGACACACAACCCACAACCAUGCCAUGUAUUCCUGGUGAAGAAGUUGUAGCUGAAGCACCUGCUGGAGUCCAAACUUCUUUGGAGCCUAAUGUGGAUGAGCCUGACGCCCUUCCAGAUAAUAGUGAUGGAAACACAGAAACAGUUGAACCAGCUAAAGUGGAUAAAGAGAACUGUCCAGAAGAUGAAGAUAUUGAGACCGUCAAACCAGAAGAUCAACCGAGUGAUAAAACUGACGAUGUGGAGGCAGACGUGGUGCAUGAAGAGGUGCCUAAAAGCAAGAAAACAGAUGUACCUGAAGAUAUGCCUAAAACUGGGCAAGCUGACGAGUCAAUGAAUGGUGAUCAAGAAGUGCUGAAUCAAGAAUCAACAGAAGAAACCAGUGACCCUCUGCCUGAAAAAACUGAAGAAACUUCUCAUGAGAGCAAUGUGUCCACCUCUGAGGAGACAACUCCAGAACAUGAUGCAGUGACAAGGGAGCCAGCUCUUGAUGUUCAAGAAGUGCAAAACCAGGGAUUAGCAGAAGAAAUAGCAGAUGCCAAAGAAGUUGAUACUGAGCAAAAAGUUCAACAAAGUGGUAUUGCUUUUGAGGAGGCAACUCCAGAAGAUAAUGCAACAAUCAUUGAACCAAGUUCUGACAUCCAACAUUUAAAUAAUGUGGAGUCAGAAGAAAUAAAGGGUCUUGAAGAUGCCAAAGCUGAAGAAUCCUCCGAUCAAAGCAAUGUGACAAUUGCUGAAGAUGCAACCCAAGAUAAGGAAGCAACAAAAGAUAUGCAACCAGUUCAAGGGUUGGAAGAGGAAGAACCUAAGAACACUGGAACUGUCGUAAUGGAUGAAGCUUCCAGUCAACCACAUGCUGAUGUCACCAAUAACCUUGCUGAAGAAGACAGUGUACCAGCAUGUCAGCCCCAGGUGACAGAAUUAAAAGAAGAGGUGAAGGACACUGGAGCCACUGAAACUCAAGAAAUCACUCAACAAAGUCAUGCUGCUGCUUCAGAGGAACUAAUAGCAGAAGACAAUUCUAUGGCAAUUGAACCAUUGAUUGAUGAAAUCCAGCAACCCCUGGAAAAAGCAUCAGCUGAAGUUAAGCACGCAGAAGUUUCUGAGACUCCAGAAAUCUGCCAUGAAAGAACUAUUUCUGCUCCUGAGGACUCUGUAAAAGAUGAUGUAACAGCAGAAGGACCAACCUCUGAUGCCCAAGAGGUAGAAAAUGUAGCAUCAGUAGAAGAAAUCAAGGACAACACAGCUGAGAAUAUCAUUGAAACCUCUAGUGUGGCAACUACUGAAGAGGCAGAUCAAGAAAAGAAUGUGCUAACAAGUGAGGAUGUGACUGAACAGCAAAUGCGUGGGCUUGAAACAGAAGAAAUACAGAACACUGAACCUGUUGAGAAAGAAGAAGUUUCUGAUCAAAGGCAUCCUUCUCUCUUGAAUGACUCAGCUCAAGAAGAUAGUAUACCAAGUGAUGGGCCAAAGACUGAAUCAACAGUAGGCGUGAAGGAAACUGAAGCACUCCCCCAGGAAAGCAAUGUUACCAUUUCUGAGGAGCCUGCUUCAGAAGAAAAUAUAACAGCAAGUGAAGUAACUUGUGAUGAUCAAGAAGUAAAAAAAUUGGAACAAGCAAAAGGUGUUGAGAGCAACAAAGAUACCAAAACUAAAGAAAUCUCUGACCAAAGCACUGAGGUUUUUGCCAGGGAGACAACUCAAGGAACCAGUGACAUUGCAAGAGAGCCAGCUGUUGAUAUGCAAUCGGUGCAGGAGCUAGAAUCAGAAAAGAAGAAUGCAGAACUUACUGAAGUGAGUGAAGCAUCUGGUCAAUUGGAUGCUGCCGUCAUUGAGAACCCAACUCAUGAAGAUAACCUAACCACAAGUGAGUCGCUUGUGAUGGAACCAGCAGAAGUGAGCAGCAAUGAAGCCACUGAAGGUCAAGAAAUGCCUCAAAGUGAUGCUACUCAGUCGGAAGAUCACAAAACAGAAGGAAAUGUGGCAGUGAGUGAACCACAGAUCCUGGAACCAGAACCUGCUGAAGAAAUGAGAGACAGUGAAGCCACUGAACCUCGAGCUAUCCCGCAAGAAAGCAUGUCUGUUCCAGAAGAAGAUGUAACAGCAAAAGAAGCAGCUUCUGAUAUCAAAGAAGUACAAACCGAAGAGAUAGUAGGGGAACCUGAUGAUGUGAGAGCUGAAGAAAUAUCCAACCAGAGCAGUGGGACUAUUGUUGGAGAAACAGCUCAAGACAAGUUACUAUCAAGUGACCCAACUAGUGAUGUACAAGCAAAGGAGCUUGAAUCACAAAAAAUUGGUAACAGUGAGGAUGUUCAAACUGAAGAAGGUUCCCAUCAAACACAUGCUGAAGAAAAUUUGACAGAAAAUGAGCCACAAAUAGCAACAGAAGAUAACACAGCAAUCCUGACAGAUGUUCACAUUCAGCAGCUUCAAGAGCAAGAACCGGUUGAAUUCAGGGACACUGAAGCUACUGAACCUCAAGGGAUCUCCCCAUCUCACACUGCCUCUGGUUCUGAGCAGUCCACACCAGAAGAUAACGAGAUGACAGACCCAAGUCCUGCCACUCAAGCAGAGAAUUUAGAAUCAGCAAUACUGACGGAGGAAAGUAAAGAUGUUAAAAGCACUGAUGCAAUUGCUGAGGAGGAAACUCCCAGAGAACGCAUACAGGAAUCUGGGGCACAUGUUGAUAUACCACCAGUGGAGAAUACUGAGCCCGUUGAGGUGCAUGACAAUGUAACGACAGAUGACCUGCCAACAGAAGAGCUGAAGGACAAUGAAGCCAUAGAGGUUGCAGAAAUCCACUAUGAGAGCCCUGUUGCAAAUAUUGGUGAUCUCACUGAAGAUGCCAAAAGCAAUGUUGCUCUUGAAGAUGAGGCAGCUCCUGGUGAAGAUGUGAAAACAGAGGCAACUGGUAUUCAACCACAAGAGACAGAAUUAGAAGAGAUCAAGAAUAGUGAACCUGUUGAAGUGGAAGAUAAUAUAAUAGCAAGGGACCUGCCAGCAGAAGAGAUCAAGGACACUGAAGCCAUGGAAACUGAGAUGAUCCCUCAUGAGAGUACUGGUGCAAAAAUUAGCGAGCUCAUCAAUGAUGUGAAAAGCAAUGUUGCUCUUGCAGACGAGGCAGCCCCUGAUGAAUAUUCAAAAGCAACAGAGGCAACUCAUGCUACACCACAACCGCAAGAGCCAGACCUAGAAGAUAUCAAGAAUAGUGAACCAGCUGAAGUGGAACGAAACACAUCAGCAAGUGAUCUGCCAGCAGAAAAAGUGAAGGAUACUGAAGCCGUGGAAACUGAAGCAAUCAACGAGAGCACUGAUGCAAACAACAGUGAGUUCACUGAAGAUCUGCAAAGCAAUGUUGCUCUUACAGAUGAGGCAACUCAUGACGAACAUGUAGCGGUAGCGGAGACAACAGUUGAUAUACCACAAGCACAAGAGCCAGAACUAGAAGAGGUCAAGAAUAUCGAACCUGUUGAGGUGGAAGAAACUAGAUCAGCAAGUGACCUGCCAGCAGAAGACGUGAAGGAAACUGAAGCAAUAAACGGGAGCACUAUUGCAAACACCAGCAAGCUAUCUGAGGAUGUGACAAGCAAUGUUGUUCCUGCAGAUGAAGCAGCUCCUGAAGAGCAUGUAAUAGCAACUGAGGCAACAGUUGAUAUACCAGAAGCACAAGAGCCAGAACUAGAAGAGACCAAGAGUACUGAACCUGCUGAAGUGGAAGAAAACAUAUCAGCAAAUGAUCUGCCAGCAGAAGAGGUGAAGGAUACUGAAGCCGUGGAGACUGAAGCAAUCAACGAGAGCACUGAUUCAAACAACAGUGAGCUCCCUGAAGAUUUGAAAAACAAUGUUGCCCUUGCAGACGUGGCCGCUCCUGAAGAACAUGUAACAGUAGCUGAUGAUACAUUUGAUAUGCCACAAGCACAAGAGCCAGAAGUAGAAGAGAUGAAGAAUACUGAACCUGUUGAAGUGGAAGAAAACAUAUCAGCAAGUGACCUGCCAGCAGAAGAGGUGAAGGACACUGAAGAAAUCAACGAGAGUGCUGAUGCAAACAUCAGUGAGCUCACAGAGGAGGUGAAAUGCAAUGUUGCUCUUGCAGACGAGGAACCUCAUGAAGAGCAUGUAACAGUAGCUGAGACAGCAGUUGAUAUACCACAACCACAGGAGCUGGAACUAGAAGAGAUCAAGAAUACUGAACCUGUUGAGGUGGAAGAAAACAUGUCAGCAAGUGACAUGCAGGCAGAAGAGGUGAAACCUACUGAAGCAAUCAAUGAGAGCACUGAUGCGAACAUCAGUGAGCUCACUGAGGAUGUCAAAACUGAUGUUGCUCUUGCAGACGAGGCAGCUCCUGAAGAACAUGUGAUAGCAACUGAGGCAACAGUUGACAUACCGCAAGCACAAGAUCCAGAACUAGAAGAAAUCAAGAAUACUGAAACUGUUGAAGUGGAAGAAAACAUAUCAGCAAGUGACCUGCCGGCAGAAGAGGUGAAGGACGCUGAAGCCAAAGAAACAGAAGCAAUAACUGAGAGCACUGAUGCAAACAUCAGUGAACUCACUGAGGAUGUGAAAAGUACUGUUACUCGUGCAGAUGAGGCAGCUCCAGAAGAGCAUGUAACAGCAGCUGAGGCAGCAGUUGAUAUACCACAAGCACAAGUGUCAGAACUACAAGAGCUCGAGAAUGUUGAACCUGACGAGGUAGAAGAAAACAGAUCAACAGGUGACCUGCCAGCAGAAGAGGUGAAGGAAAUUGAAGCCAAGGAAACUGAAGCAAUUAACGAGAGCACUGAUGCAAACAUCAGCGAGCUCACCGGGAAUGUGACAAGCAAUGUUACUCCUGCAGACGAGGCAGCUCCUGAAGAGCAUGUAACAGCAACUGAGGCAACAGUUGAUAUUCCACGAGCACAAGAGCCAGACCUAGAAGAGAUUGAGAAUGUUGAACCUGUUGAGGUGGAAGAAAACGCAUCAGCUAAUGACAUGCUGGCAGAAGAGGUGAAGGACACUGAAGCCAAGGAAACUGAUGCAAUCAACGAGAGCAGUGAUGCAAACAUCAGUGAGCUUACUGAAGAUAUGAAAAGCAACGUUGCUCUUAUAGAUGAGGCAGCUCAUGAAGAACAUGUAACAGUAGCCGAGACAACAGCCGAUAUACCACAAGCACAAGAGCCGGAGCUAGAAAAGAUCAAGAAUACUGAAGCAGGUGACCUGUCAGCAGAAGAGGUCAAGGAAAUUGAACCCAAGGAAACUGAAGCAAUCAGCGAAAGGACUGAUGCAAACAUCAGCGAGCUCAAUGAGGAUGUGAAAAGCAAUGUUGCACUUGCAGACGAGGAACCUCAUGCAGAGCAGGUAACAGUAACUGAGAGAACAGUUGACAUACCACAAGCACAGGAGCCGGAACUAGAAGAGAUCGAGAAUACUGAACCUGUUGAGGUGGAAGAAAAUAGAUCAGCAAGUGACCUGCAAGCAGAAGAGGUGAAGGAAACUGAAGCAAUCAACGAGAGAACUGUUGCAAACACCAGUGAGCUACCUGAGGAUGUGACAAGCAAUGUUGUUCCUGCAGACGAGGCAGCUCCUGAAGAGCAUGUAAUAGCAACUGAGGCAACAGUUGACAUACCAGAAGCACAAGGGCCAGAACUAGAAGAGACCAAGAGUACUGAGCCUGCUGAAGUGGAAGAAAACAUAUCAGCAAAUUAUCUGCCAGCAGAAGAGGUGAAGGAUACUGAAGCCAUAGAGACUGAAGCAAUCAAUGAGAACACUGAUGCAAACAACACUGAGCUCACUGAAGAUGUGAAAAACAAUGUUGCUCUUGCAGAUGAGGCAGCUCCUGAAGAACAUAUAACAGUAGCUGAUGAUACAGUUGAUAUGCCACAAGUACAAGAGCCAGAAGUAGAAGAGAUAAAGAAUACUGAACCUGUUGAAGUGGAAGAAAAGAUGUCAGCAAGUGACAUGCAGGCAGAAGAGGUGAAGGACACUGAAGCAAUCAACGAGAGCACUGAUGCGAACAUCAGUGAGCUCAGUGAGGAUGUCAAAACUAAUGUUGCGCUUGCAGACGAGGCAGCUCCUGAAGAACAUGUAAUAGCAACUGAGGCAACAGUUAACAUACCACAAGCACAGGAGCUGGAACUAGAAGAGAUCAAGAAUACUGAACCUGUUGAGGUGGAAGAAAACAUGUCAGCAAGUGACAUGCAGACAGAAGAGGUGAAGAACUCUGAAGCAAUCAAUGAGAGCACUGAUGAGAACAUCAGUGAGCUCACUGAGGAUGUCAAAACUAAUGUUGACGAGGCAGAUCCUGAAGAGCAUGUGAUAGCAACUGAGGCAACAGUUGACAUACCACAAGCACAAGAUCCAGAACUAGAAGAAAUCAAGAAUACUGAACCUGUUGAAGUGGAAGAAAACAUAUCAGCAAGUGACCUGCCGGCAGAAGAGGUGAAGGACGCUGAAGCCAAAGAAACAGAAGCAAUAACCGAAAGCACUGAUGCAAACAUCAGUGAACUCACUGAGGAUGUGAAAAGUAAUGUUACUCGUGCAGAUGAGGCAGCUCCAGAAGAGCAUGUAGUAGCAGCUGAGGCAGCAGUUGAUAUACCACAAGCACAAGUGUCAGAACUACAAGAGCUCGAGAAUGUCGAACCUGACGAGGUGGAAGAAAACAGAUCAGCAGGUGACCUGCCAGCGGAAGAGGUGAAGGAAAUUGAAGCCAAGGAAACUGAAGCAAUUAACGAGAGCACUGAUGCAAACAUCAGCGAGCUCACCGGGGAUGUGACAAGCAAUGUUACUCCUGCAGACGAGGCAGCUCCUGAAGAGCAUGUAACAGCAACUGAGGCAACAGUUGAUAUUCCACGAGCACAAGAGCCAGAACUAGAAGAGAUCAAGAAUGUUGAACCUGUUGAGGUGGAAGAAAAUGCAUCAGCUAGUGACAUGCCGGCAGAAGAGGUGAAGGACACUGAACCCAAGGAAACUGAAGCAAUCAGCGAAAGGACUGAUGCAAACAUCCGCGAGCUCAAUGAGGAUGUGAAAAGCAAUGUUGCACUUGCAGACGAGGAACCUCAUGCAGAGCAGGUAACAGUAGCUGAGAGAACAGUUGACAUGCCACAAGCACAGGAGCCGGAACUAGAAGAGAUAAAAAAUACUGAACCUGUUGAGGUGGAAGAGAAUAGAUCAGCAAGUGACAUGCAAGCAGAAGAGGUGAAGGAAACUGAAGCAAUCAAUGAGAGCCCUGAUGCAAACAUCAGCGAGCUCACUGAGGAUGUGACAAGCAAUGUUGCUCCUGCAGACGAGGCAGCUCCUGAAGAGCAUGUAAUAGCAACCAAGGCGACAGUUGAUAUUCCACGAGCACAAGAGCCAGACCCAGAAGCAAUGAAGAAUACUGAACCAGUUGAAGUGGAAGAAUUCAUAUCAGCGAGUGACCUGCCGACAGAAGAGGUGAAGGAGACUGAAACCAAGGAAACUGAAGCAAUCAAUGAGAGCACUGAUGCAAACAUCAGUGAGCUCACUGAGGAUGUAAAAGGCAAUAUUGCUCAUGCAGAUGAGGCAGCUCCUGAAGAACAUGUAAUAGCAGCUGAGGCAACAGAUGAUAUACCACAAGCACAAGUGCCAGAACUAAAAGAGUUCGAGAAUACUGAACCUGUUGAGGUGGAAGAAAACAAAUCAGCAACUGACCUGCCAGCUGAAGAGGUGAAGGACAUUGAAACCAUCGAAACUGAAGCAGUCAACAAGAACGCUGAUACAAACAUCAGUGAGCUCACUGAAGAUGUUACUCUUGCGGAGGAGGCAGCUGCUGACGUACAAAUCAAUGUACCACCAGCAAAGGAGCCAGCACUAGAAGAGAUGAAGAAUAUUGAACCUGUUGAAGCAGAAGAUGGUAUAACAGCGGAUAAUGUCCCAGCAGAAGAGAUAAAUGACACUGAAGCCAUGGAGACUCGAGAAAUCCCUCAUGAGAAUACAGAUGAUAGUUUGAUAGCAAGUGCAGAACUUCCUGAUAUUCAACAAGCAGUCGAAGAUAAGGCAUGCACUGACACCACAGAAAACCAAGGGGAACCUCAACGAAGCAUUGUUUCUACUUCUGCUGAGCUUACUCCAACAGAAGAAGAAACAGCAGUAGUAGAGCAUACUCAAGAUACACAUGUACAGGAUGCCAGCAGUGGACCGGGAAGUGACCCAAAUUUGCUUGUCCAAUCAGCACAUCAAUCAGAAUUGGCUGAAGACAGCAAGGGUCAAUUUGUAAAGGCAGAAGAAACAGGCCAAAGUAAUGGUGCCACCCUUGAAGAACCAACUGCAGAAGACAAUGCUGCGAAUGAAAUCAGCCCGCUUGCUGAUUCUAAACAAGAGCAUGGAGUAGAAUCAAUGGAACAAAACAAAUGUAUUGAUGCUACUGAAGGUGAAGAGGCCUCCCAUUUAAGCCAAGAUCCUGGUUUAGAGGAGCCAGUUUCAGAACGUGAUACAACAACGGUUGAGCCAACUUCUGAUAUUCAGCAAGUAAAUGACAUGGAUGAAGCAGAAGAAAUGGCGGCCACUGAACCCAUCAACGGGGAAGAAAUUUCCUCUCAAAAAACAGAUGUUGCUACUUUGGAGGAUCCAUCUCCAACAGAUAAUGAAACGGCGCCAGAACAAAAUCCUGUUGAGUUAGAUGAAGAGAACUUGGGAAAUGAAAUCAGCAAUGCAAUCUUGGCAGAUGAAAAUAUCAAAGAGGAAGUACAAGAGCCAACAGAACAAAAGGACGAAUCAUCUGACUUGGGUGAAAAAACUGCUUUCACAACUCAGAAGGACGAGAGCGCUACUGAGGAAGAUAUUGUACAAAUUUCUGGUGAAGAUACAGUAGGGACUUCAAACAAUAUUGAGCAAAUCAAAGAACUGCCAAAAUCUGUAAUUGAACAUAAUGCGAUAACAAGUGGUGGCCAUACCAAUGAUCAAGAUGACGAGCAACUUCACAAUGUGGAGCUUCAAAUGCAAGUGUGUGAACGGUCAGUGGAUGUUUUAACCACUGAGAAGCCAGAUGAUCACAUACAAAAGGUUAGCUUGGAUCAGCAGCAGAAACAAGAUGAGGCGAUUGAAAAGCAAACGGAAGAAAUACAGACAGAUGAGCAGAAACAUGAUGACAGUAGGGCUGAUUUCACCACAGAGACAAUAUUGGAGCCCCAGAGCAACGAAAUUGACACAACUAAUAGGAACGACGAUGCCGAUGUGUUUGAGGCUGAACAAACAGAGGCAGUGACUACUGAAAUGCUCAAGAAUGAACAAACCCCACAUAUAGCCCAAGAAUCCAUUCCAAGCGUUACGGAUGCGAAGGUUGAGAACUCCACGGAAAUAGAAGAAACAACUGAACAAGAAGAUGCACCCAACAACACUGGCACUUUAUAUACUGAUGCUGAUGCUGAAAAAUAUAAUGAAGAUGAGAAGGAGAAUACAGAAAUAGAUGCAGCAGUAGCAAAAACUUCUACUGACAAACAGGAUGGAACAACUGAUGAAACUAUAAAUGAAGAGGUUGAAAAUGAUUUGGGAUUACCUGUCGAGAAGGAUCUUCAGAAAACAUCUGACCUAGCUUCUUCAAAUGAAGAAAUGCUAGAGAAUGAUCCUACAGUGGUUCCUCAGAACGUUGAAUCCAGAGUGCACUCAGAAGAGAAAGAAUGCAUAAACAAGGCCAAUGAUGGUAUGCAGGCCAUUCAAGCAUCAGAAGAAGAGAUCGUUGAUGAAGUGGAAAAGGAAGAAAUACAAAAUGAAGACACGAAUGUUAAUCAUGAAGAAAUUGAGACCAAACUUGUCGAUGGAGAGGCGUCUGGACUGCAGGACUUGAGUUUUCAUCCAAAGGUUGUAGAUGAUAAGUUGGCAACAGAGCAGAAUGGUGCAGAAGUUGAAACUGACUCGAAUGAGGAAAUGGCGACUGGCUAUACAGCAGUCACUGAAUCAGUCAAACUCGGUGAAGCUAUCUACGAUAAGGCUGGUGGAGCUGAUGUGGCACUAUCUGAUGAAAAUCUCGAGACCAUUGAGGACAACAGAAGGAAUCUUGAGGCUUCACCUGCCGUUACAGCAUCAGUAGAAAGUAUGAAGGAAGACAAUGAACAUCAUAAGCCUGCUCUUCCUGCACACUCCGCCGUGGAUGGAAAUGAAACUGAACAGGCAUCUGGCUUAGAGGUGACAGAAAGAGAGUUGUUUCCAGAGAAGCCACUCCCCACGGAAUCAGAAGAGCAAGAAGAGAGUCAAAUAACCACAGAACAAGAUGGAGAGAACGUACAAGAGCAAGAAACUGAUGACACAGAGAAAGAAAAAGAAGCUGAACAGAGUGAUUUGCCUGUCUCCCAUUUUCUGAUGAACCUGAUAAUGGGAAAAGAGAGCAAUGAGCCAGAUAGAAAUUCGGAAUUUAAGGCUGAAAAGAAGCAAGAAGAAACCACAAAAGAUGGCAGUUCUUUGAUCACCUCUCAACAGGAAGAAAGCUUGGUGCCAAUUCCAACAGAAAAUAAGGUGGACAAUGAACACAUCUUUGAACAAGGAAAACAUAAUCUAGAAGGCUCUGAAGAAACACAUGAUAUCAAGCUGGAAAAGGAUGAAGAGCUCAAUAGGAACACUCAUGAUUUGGAAGCACCAGUAUGCCAAAACAAUGUCCAGGGUGAAACUUCUAGUGAAAUGGUACCUGGUGGAUCUGGCCUGACUACAGAAAUGGAAACUAGAGACAUCAAGCUGGGUGAAAAGGCAACCAAUUCUGUUUGUCAGGAACAUAUGGAAGCGACAACACAGAUUGAAGAAGGAAGCUUGAAGAGCAACCUUCAUGACAUAACAAGCCCAAAGGUUUCUCAAGAGGACACAUUAGAGGAAGGAAGAACAGACCUUCAGCACGAGCCUUUACCUGAAAAAAGAAGUUCUGAUGCAGUGUCCGGGCAAACACUCUUGUUGACAGAACCAAAUAUGGGUGAUGAAAAGAAUUUGCCUAAUGACACUGAUGAUCUUCAAAGUCCUCUGAGCACAAAAAGAGAAGAGUCCAAUGAAUCUUCCAUCACUGAGGCCGAAAGUACUGUAGAGGCAGAACUGGAGAAUGGAGUAGACAAGGAAGAAAAGAAUCAGCAGACAACCAUGACAGGUGGAGCUACAGAAGAACAGAUAGAAAAUGAGCAUGAUAUCUCGCAGAAAGGCACAGAAGCAAUAUCAGAUGAGCAGAAGGGUGAAAUUACUGAACCAGUUAUGGGCAAUGAGAUAAAUUUGGUUCAUGAAAAGGGGAUUUCUGCAGACUCAGAAUGCAAGGACGAAAAGCAAAGCUCUAAGUUCUCAAACAGUGAACUAGACAACUCUGAGAAAGCUUCAGAAAUCCAGUUAGAUGGUUCCAGCUUGCAUAUAGACCAAGAUAAGCAAGAUGAAUCUGCGGGCGACCAAAUUGUGAUGGAGAAGAACAACCUGCUAGACAAGCCAGGAGAAUCUGAUUUGCAGAAGGUGCAGGAAACGGAAGUUGCACAAGAAUCUCCUGAAGAAUCUGAUGAAGGUGAUCAGAAUUCAUUGCCCAUAAGAGAGCCUGUGAUCAAAGAAGUGAAUGAAAACAAAACUGUUGAUAGCCAUGUGCAAACAGUGGACACACAAUCACAGGAAGAGCAAGAAACAUUUAAUUCACAGGUUCAGGAGCGUGAUCUCGAUGUGGCUUCACCAGAAGAGGCUCCUGAGGCUGAAGAAAAUAUUGUGGAGUCAAAGCCAGAAUUCAGCAGAGAUGAAGAACAAAGUCCAAAGAAAGAUGAAUCAAAUAUGGCAGGAGAGAAAACUUAUGAUGAGAAGACAAAGGGUGCACAGGAAGCUAAGAGUCUCACUGAUGAAGCGAAAACCAAAGUUGAAGAACAAGGAGUAGUACAGAAGGCGUCACACAAUCAGAAACGUGAUCUCGAUGUGGUUUCACCAACAGAAGCUCCUGGGAGUGAAGAAAAUGUUGUGGAUAUAAAAGAGCCAGAGUUCAGCACAGAUGAAGAAGAAAGUCCAAAGAAAGAUGUAUCAAACAUGGCAGAAGAGAAGAGUUAUGACAAGAAGACAAAUGGUGACGAGGAAGCUAAGAAUUUCACUGAUGACGCACCAACGAAAAUUGAAGAACGAGAGGCAGGGCAGAAGGCAUCACCUAAAAAGCAUAAUAUCUUAUCUGGUGUCGGAUCAAAGGUAAAGCACCAACUAGCAAAAGUGAAGAAAGCUAUCAUUGGCAAGCCUGGGCACACAAAAUCUGAAUCACCAAAAGUUUGA
This 12786-nucleotide ribosomal RNA is filed under the name Triticum aestivum (bread wheat). Its description in RNAcentral is "partial small subunit ribosomal RNA". The record is from RNAcentral. Lineage: Eukaryota; Viridiplantae; Streptophyta; Magnoliopsida; Poales; Poaceae.